Molecule: long non-coding RNA, 1837 nt
Organism: Acinonyx jubatus (cheetah)
Lineage: Eukaryota; Metazoa; Chordata; Mammalia; Carnivora; Felidae
Exons: 3
Source: RefSeq, a predicted model, not a curated record
AGCAUAUGACCAACCAGAAUGAUUCUCAGGACUUAACCUGGAAGCUCCUGGCUCUUUUCUUCUGGGUUGAACGUGGAGGAAGAGGCUGGAGGGACCGCAGGGCCCUUGCCACCCAGAGCCCCGGAAGGAGGCAAACACGGCCGAUGACGGCACCACGGCCCGGGAGAAACUGAGCCUCGUAUUGAGUCCAGAAUCUAGUCAUGCCGGAAGCCAGCGCGGCUCUUAGAUGUUUUGUUUGGGGAGCCAACAAAACUCUCUUCUUGCUGAAACAAGCUCGGUUUGCAUCGUCUGUCACUCACUACUGAAGAGAGAGGAGUUCUCACUAACACCCGAGGGGGGCAGAGCGCCAAAGUAUGGAGGCCUCGGUUUCCCCAUUGGAUCUAAUGAGCUUCAGCACCACCGUCUUCCAGCAGCCCCGUCCUGGUUCUCCGGUUCUGGGUGAUUCUUCACUGCCUGUGUUGCUGAGUGUGUGAGUUUGGUGCGGACUGCCCGGUUUCAAACCUCCAUGUCACCACCAGUAGCUGUGACUAUGGGCAAGUGACGUAAGCCCUCUGUGUCUCAGUUUUCUUACCUGUGACAUGGAAAUGAAGACAGUAGACCCUCAUAAAACUGUUGGGAGAUGUGAAGGUGUUAAAAUCUGCAGCGUGAUCAGAAUAGUGGCACAGAGAAAGCGCCUUCCCAGCGGCGACUGUCCUUACUGUUUAUGUCGUAAUUUAUGGUGACGAUGCCUGUCCAGACAUCUCCCUCCUUCUCCGUGGUUGUCACCAUUCCCAGGCGCCUUGCUGUCUUGGUUAGGGCUCCACCUUUUAUUCCUUUUCACAGUCUUUGCUGCUCUGUGUCCCAGCACUAGGGGAUUUCUCUUUCCAAGCUCACAGGUAUCUAACGCUAGAAGUCAACUCAGCAAAUACGUUCAUGGGGUUCCCCUUUGGACAGGAGGUGAGUAAAAGUUUCUGUCCAUCCCACUUCAGUUUAUAAAUCUCUUUAAUGAGUAAGAUUUUUUUUUUGUAAUGUAUAUUAAUUUUUUUUUUUGGCUAUUCAGAAUCCACUGCCCUACCCCUUGGUGACCAGCUCGCUGGGAACCGCUCCCCCACCACCUUACUCUCACCUAAAUGGCUUAACCAGCCUUCCGGGUUCCGUGGAGUGAGAUCAUCGCGGCUUUCCUUUCCCGGCAACUGUGAUUGGCUCAGGGACGGGCAUGUGACACCGUCAGGGCCAAUGAGAUGCAACGAGACUGUUGCAGUGGCUUCUGGGAAUGCUGUACACUUUGUCCCUCUUGCGGCCAUGACAGGAGAGUCUAAAAGUGGACCUGAGAGAGGAGGGAGGAGCUCAGAGAUCAGGAGACACUAGGCAGGAUCUGGUGACGUCAUCUGAACCUCUGGAUCCAACUGUGCCCGAGACUAACGACUCCUUGCCCUUCGUAUAAGGCUCUAGAGGCCACACACCAAACUCCGCAUCCUGCAGCUUGAAGAAAAUGGAAUAAAACUCUUCCGGCGAUGCCAGGGGCUGGGAUUCAUCAUUUACCCAGGACGGUGUGAUGGCACUUUCUCUCCCGACUAGAAUUCAGAAGAGGGAAGGAAGCCUGAGAAACAAACACUGGAUCUUAAAGACAAAGUGACACAUACGUCACUGGCCAGAGUCCGCCACGUGGCCACCCCUGACUUCACCAGGAGGAAGCAGUUCAAUUCUCCCAAACGCCUGACUUCCCCACUUACACGUGACUGUGGCCAAGUCGCUUACUUUUCACUGUUUCUCAGUUUCCUUGUUUGUUUGUAUGAAGGCAGACCCAUGACUUUGUUCGUGGCGUUGUUAAGAAGAUUAAAUGUGACAACGAACAACA